This 1186-nucleotide long non-coding RNA is filed under the name Lepisosteus oculatus (spotted gar). RNAcentral's name for it is "lncRNA (ENSLOCG00000021604.1)". Lineage: Eukaryota; Metazoa; Chordata; Actinopteri; Semionotiformes; Lepisosteidae. The record is from RNAcentral.
GCUCACAAUCUUUUGACUUCUUUUCUACAGAUUUCUAGUCAAAGAGUUUGGCUCAGCUCUUACCUCGACAUCUCAUUCUGGUCAUCCAGCUCUUGGUUUUUGUCUGUUUGUCAGUUAAUUCAAUUUAAAUGCUGGUCGAAUCAGAGUUGACAAGUUCUGCCCAUCUCAAUGCAACCCAGCAGGCGAAACCACAGCGGCGCUUGGGGAUGACGUCACGCUCGAAACUCCAGCUUCCUGAAUGAUCUCACUGCUAAAGCACAAAGUGCAUUGGGAAACGAGACGAAGAUUUCGACGAGGAUGUUCUCCAGUUCCCCCUACGGAUUGGAGGUCUAACAGUCAGAGCUGUAUCCCUGUUCAGAUGUGGCCAAGAGUAGCAAUGUCCAGGAGACCUGUGAAACCUCAGUGAGAUACAGGACAGCAGGAUCCCAACCGCGGACUUUGUACCAGUCGUUUCCCCCCCACCUGAACAGGGGUGCUGAUCAUUCUUCAUAGACCUUUGGGAAACGCAGUUCAGUCAAGGAUUUCCAUCUUGCACCUCUCCCCUUGUUCUAUAUUGUUUGAUUAACCACAUCUCUGGCAUAAUUCUAAAUAUAAUGCAGCUUUAGGAUUUUUCUCGACAUUUGCUAUAUCAUUACUGCUGUAUUUGUAAACCCCCUACUUUUGAUAACUGACAUUGCUAAAGGACUCAUUUAGCAAUGUCUGGGCAAGAAACCUUCAAUUUUAUAAACAAAUUCAAAUAAAGAAAGUAAAUGUCUCACCGUAUGUAAAAACAGAUAUAUUAACAGUGAGAGAGCUCUAGUUUCAAACCCUCAUAGAGGUAGAGAUAAGCUUAGUGACCGAAUUUGACUACAAGACGACCUUCUGAAACUUUCCUGUCAGCAGAUAAAAUUUGUGGUAGAACUUCCUUUUUGUCAGAUCAACUCAAGCUGUUUUUAAAAACAAUUUUAGAACAAUGUGACAGUAUAGCACAGGGACUGGGAGUCCUUCACUGUAGGCCGGUUUGCUCCCUCUGAACAUCAUCUGGACAGUCAUGGACAGUCCAGGGUCAAAAGUCCAUCCCCCACCGGUCUGCCCCCUCCUCUUUCUCUGCCCCAUUCUCUAAAGGUUCUCUUUUGUCUAUCCCUCUACCUUCUGUAUUUCAUUAUUCUCUAAUACUGUUUCCUGCAAUAAAUGUUUUUAACCCAAG